This 665-nucleotide ribosomal RNA is filed under the name Salmonella enterica subsp. enterica serovar Typhimurium. RNAcentral describes it as "partial 23S ribosomal RNA". It matches the Rfam family "Bacterial large subunit ribosomal RNA", at positions 1 to 706 of the family's 2925-position model. The record is from RNAcentral. Lineage: Bacteria; Pseudomonadati; Pseudomonadota; Gammaproteobacteria; Enterobacterales; Enterobacteriaceae.
GGUUAAGCGACUAAGCGUACACGGUGGAUGCCCUGGCAGUCAGAGGCGAUGAAGGACGUGCUAAUCUGCGAUAAGCGCCGGUAAGGUGAUAUGAACCGUUAUAACCGGCGAUUUCCGAAUGGGGAAACCCAGUGUGAUUCGUCACACUAUCAUUAACUGAAUCCAUAGGUUAAUGAGGCGAACCGGGGGAACUGAAACAUCUAAGUACCCCGAGGAAAAGAAAUCAACCGAGAUUCCCCCAGUAGCGGCGAGCGAACGGGGAGGAGCCCAGAGCCUGAAUCAGCAUGUGUGUUAGUGGAAGCGUCUGGAAAGGUGCGCGAUACAGGGUGACAGCCCCGUACACAAAAGCGCAUGUGCUGUGAGCUCGAUGAGUAGGGCGGGACACGUGGUAUCCUGUCUGAAUAUGGGGGGACCAUCCUCCAAGGCUAAAUACUCCUGACUGACCGAUAGUGAACCAGUACCGUGAGGGAAAGGCGAAAAGAACCCCGGCGAGGGGAGUGAAAAAGAACCUGAAACCGUGUACGUACAAGCAGUGGGAGCACAGGUUUACCUGUGUGACUGCGUACCUUUUGUAUAAUGGGUCAGCGACUUAUAUUCUGUAGCAAGGUUAACCGAAUAGGGGAGCCGGAGGGAAACCGAGUCUUAAUUGGGCGUUAAGUUGCAGG